UGAUGUCUAGCAUGCGAGUCAUUGUAGCAGUACAAGGCAGACGGCUCAGUAACGCGUAGUCAAUCUACCCUAUGGACGGGAAUAACCUCGGGAAACUGAGAAUAAUGCCCGAUAGAACAUUAUACCUGGAACGGUUUAUGUUUCAAAUGAUUUAUCGCCAUAGGAUGGGACUGCGGCCUAUCAGUUUGUUGGUGAGGUAAUGGCCCACCAAGACUAUUACAGGUACGGGCUCUGAGAGGAGUAGCCCGGAGAUGGGUACUGAGACACGGACCCAGGUCCUAUGGGGCGCAGCAGGCGAGAAAACUUUGCAAUGUGCGAAAGCACGACAAGGUUAAUCCGAGUGGUUUCUGCUAAAGAAACCUUUUGUCAGUCCUAGAAACACUAACGAAUAAGGGGUGGGCAAGUUCUGGUGUCAGCCGCCGCGGUAAAACCAGCACCUCAAGUGGUCAGGAUGAUUAUUGGGCCUAAAGCAUCCGUAGCCCGUUUUGUAAGUUUUCGGUUAAAUCCAUGCGCUUAACGUAUGGGCUGCCGGGAAUACUGCAUAACUAGGAAGUGGGAGAGGUAGACGGUACUCGGGAGGAAGGGGUAAAAUCCUUUGAUCUCUUGAUGACCACCUGUGGCGAAGGCGGUCUACCAGAACACGUUCGACGGUGAGGGAUGAAGCUGGGGGAGCAACCGGGAUUAGAUACCCGGGUAGUCCCAGCUGUAACUAUGCAACUCAGUUGAUGCAUGCUGUGCCCAUGCAGUGCUGCAAGGAAAGCCGGU
Molecule: ribosomal RNA, 765 nt
Filed under: uncultured archaeon
Lineage: Archaea
Description: bacterial SSU rRNA
Rfam family: Archaeal small subunit ribosomal RNA
Source: RNAcentral